This 95-nucleotide non-coding RNA is filed under the name human gut metagenome. RNAcentral's name for it is "SAM riboswitch (S box leader)". It matches the Rfam family "SAM riboswitch aptamer (S box leader)". Rfam says of the family: The SAM riboswitch is found upstream of a number of genes which code for proteins involved in methionine or cysteine biosynthesis in Gram-positive bacteria. The record is from RNAcentral.
CUUAUCAAGAGUGGUGGAGGGAACGGCCCUGUGAAGCCCGACAACCUGUGCGAGAGCAUAAGGUGCCAAAUCCUGCGGGAAACCGAAAGAUAAGA